UUUUCAAGAGGUGGAUAAUGAAAUCUCCAGAGUCUCACCAAAAGUGAGAAUGCGUUGGAGAAGACUGCAUGACAAGAGAUUUCUUCCCCUGAUGGAAAAGUGCUUGAGACCUUGGGAACACUUGAACCAAAGACCUCGCAGAUGGGCAUCAAUGCACCUGCAAGUAAUGGAACCAAUCCAUGUAAAGAUAAAAUCUGUACACAAUCCACAGAUGCUAUUCCAACAAGCAGAACAUUCAAAAUUGGAGCAUAACUAAUCAAGUGGCUCUCACUUCCAGAGUAAUCGGAAGGAACUGGUGGUGACAACAAUUUUAUAAUGAAAAGAACAGUUUGUUCCUGUAUAUUCCAACCACGGAACAGAGAUGCUCCACAAAGAAUGGUAGCAGCAGCUAUCUUCUCAUCAUUGGAGCCACUGACUGCAAUCUCAUAUACUUUCUCGAUCUCUGGUAAACUUGAAGCAGGAGUUGCCACCAAA
This 474-nucleotide unclassified non-coding RNA is filed under the name Hevea brasiliensis (rubber tree). The record is from RNAcentral. Lineage: Eukaryota; Viridiplantae; Streptophyta; Magnoliopsida; Malpighiales; Euphorbiaceae.